AUGGGGGAGGUCGCGGCGGAGCUGUACACCCAGGAUGGCACCAUCGACAUCAAGGGCAACCCGGCCCUCAAGAGCAACACCGGCAACUGGCGAGCAUGCCCCUACAUCCUCGCGAACGAGUGCUGCGAGCGCCUUGCCUACUACGGCAUGAGCACCAACCUGGUCAACUUCAUGAAGGACCGGAUGGGCAUGGCCAACGCGGCGGCCGCCAACAACGUCACCAACUGGGGCGGCACCUGCUACAUCACCCCGCUCAUCGGCGCCUUCCUCGCCGACGCCUACCUCGGCCGCUUCUGGACCAUCGCCUCCUUCAUGAUCAUCUACAUCUUCGGCCUCGGCCUGCUCACCAUGGCCACCUCCGUGCACGGCCUCGUGCCCGCCUGCGCCUCCAAGGGCGUGUGCGACCCCACGCCGGGCCAGUCGGCGGCCGUCUUCAUCGCGCUCUACCUCAUCGCGCUCGGCACCGGCGGGAUCAAGCCCUGCGUCUCCUCCUUCGGGGCCGACCAGUUCGACGAGCACGACGACGUGGAGCGCAAGAGCAAGAGCUCCUUCUUCAACUGGUUCUACUUCUCCAUCAACAUCGGCGCGCUGGUGGCCUCGUCCGUGCUGGUGUACGUGCAGACGCAUGUGGGGUGGAGCUGGGGCUUCGGCAUCCCCGCCGUCGUCAUGGCCAUCGCCGUCGGCAGCUUCUUCGUCGGCACGCCGCUGUACCGCCACCAGCGCCCCGGCGGCAGCCCGCUCACCCGCAUCGCGCAGGUGCUCGUGGCCGCCACGCGCAAGCUCGGCGUCCCCGUCGACGGGUCGGCGCUGUACGAGACCGCGGACAGGGAGUCCGGCAUCGAGGGGAGCCGCAAGCUGGAGCACACGGGGCAGUUCAGGUUCCUCGACAAGGCGGCGGUGGAGACGCAGGCGGACAAGACGGCGGCCACCGGGCCGUCGCCGUGGCGGCUGUGCACGGUGACGCAGGUGGAGGAGCUCAAGAGCGUGGUGCGGCUGCUGCCCAUCUGGGCGAGCGGCAUCGUCUUCGCCACGGUGUACGGCCAGAUGAGCACCAUGUUCGUGCUACAGGGCAACACCCUGGACGCCUCCAUGGGUCCCAAGUUCAAGAUCCCCUCCGCCUCCCUCUCCAUCUUCGACACCCUCAGCGUCAUCGCCUGGGUGCCCGUCUACGACCGCAUCCUCGUCCCGGCAGUGCGCUCCGUCACCGGCCGGCCCCGCGGCUUCACCCAGCUCCAGCGCAUGGGCAUCGGCCUCGUGGUCUCCAUGUUCGCCAUGCUCACCGCCGGCGUGCUCGAGCUCGUCCGCCUCCGCACCAUCGCGCAGCGCGGCCUCUACGGGGAGAAGGACGUGGUGCCCAUCUCCAUCUUCUGGCAGGUGCCGCAGUACUUCAUCAUCGGCGCCGCCGAGGUGUUCACCUUCGUGGGCCAGCUCGAGUUCUUCUACGACCAGGCGCCCGACGCCAUGAGGAGCAUGUGCUCCGCGCUCUCGCUCACCACCGUCGCGCUCGGGAACUACCUCAGCACGCUGCUCGUCACCGUCGUGGCCAAGCUCACCACCAGGGGAGGCAAGCAGGGGUGGAUCCCCGACAACCUCAACGUCGGCCACCUCGACUACUUCUUCUGGCUGCUCGCCGCGCUCAGCCUCCUCAACUUCGCCGUCUACCUCCUCAUCGCCAGCUGGUACACCUACAAGAAGACCGCCGGAGAUGACCCGGACGCCAAAGCCAAAGGAGGAGCUGAUGAUGCACAUGACCAGUGA
RNAcentral lists this ribosomal RNA (1758 nucleotides) under Triticum aestivum (bread wheat). Its description in RNAcentral is "partial small subunit ribosomal RNA". Lineage: Eukaryota; Viridiplantae; Streptophyta; Magnoliopsida; Poales; Poaceae. The record is from RNAcentral.